This is a long non-coding RNA of Pecten maximus, 839 nucleotides long. RefSeq lists it as uncharacterized. The record is from RefSeq and is a predicted model, not a curated record. Lineage: Eukaryota; Metazoa; Mollusca; Bivalvia; Pectinida; Pectinidae. The transcript is spliced from 3 exons.
CAACAUAGUCAGUAUUCUAUCGGCACGAGGAAGACUCUCAGUUUUUGAACUGUCUGUCAUAUACUGAGGCUAUGAGUAGUUUUAAAGACUUGGGUUCUGGUCAGAUGUGAUGCAAUCUGUCACAUUAUAUCAAGGCAAGGGUAGGAAUAUGAGAAAGAAAUGGAUGUUUCCCCUUUGGUAUGGACCAGUCCAUCUGCUCCCAUAGGUGAGUUAUUGAAAGAGCCUAAGAGCCACUUGUGAUAUUAAAGGCAGCCAUCUUGGAUCUUUGUCACCUAGAAGCUUUGAAUGCAGCUUUGAUAUUCCAUGAUGGCCACUGGUUUAAAGGCAGCAAGAUGACAAUCUCUAUAAUAACACAGAUGGAGACUUGAGCACUUGACCUUGAGCUGACCUUGGGAAAGCAUCUCCAGUGUCCAGUCACCUUGGAGUCUGAAUGAGCAAAUGUCAACAAUUCCCGCUGGGAACAGGAAGUGGGAUAGGUUGUCAUAGUAAUUUGACCACAGACAGAGGAGAGUGAGGACUAUUCAGGAAUUGAUAUGUCCAGACAUAAAGUGUUACGGACCAGUCCUACUGACCACAUAGUGGCUGGACAUUUGACCCUUCUGUAUAUAAAAAGAUAUUGAUAGAUCACAAGAAGUCUUGCAUAGAGACAUAAAUGGAGGGCUAAUGUCUCAAGCUUAUUGGUAACAAGCUCAAAAGUGAUCUGGAUUGUACAGAAGGCAUUUCUUUAAUUCUAAAUUGAAAUUAAUAUUAUUUUACAAGUAUCUGUAUUAUCAAAAUCUCUAUUAAGAAACAAAAUGAUUGUUUUACAAUAAAAGUGAUACAGUGUAAUCAGACUUUAA